RNAcentral lists this small RNA (28 nucleotides) under Bombyx mori (domestic silkworm). RNAcentral's name for it is "ovarian small RNA-9910". Lineage: Eukaryota; Metazoa; Arthropoda; Insecta; Lepidoptera; Bombycidae. The record is from RNAcentral.
AAACACAGUCCACUGCGGUCAACCGCAC